GGCUCCAUGAAUCUCAUCUGCAGGAAGAUGAAUCCACUGUGGUUCUUUCUCUUCGUGGUGUCAGCGCCCAGAGGUGUCCUGUCCCAGGUGCAGCUGCAGGAGUCGGGACCCAGCCUGGUGACGCCCUACCAGACCCUCUCCCUCACCUGCACCGUCUCUGGAGACUCAUUAUCCAACUUUAAUGUCGACUGGGUCCGACAGCCUCCAGGAAAAGGGCUGGAGUGGCUUGGUGAGAUCAUUUAUAAAGGAAACACGUAUUAUAACCCAAGUCUUAAGUCCCGGCUCAGCAUCACCAGGGACACGUCCAAGAACCAAGUCUACUUAUCACUGAGCAGCCUGACAACUGAAGACACAGCCGUGUAUUACUGUGUGAGAGACACACAGUGAGGGGAAGUCAGUGCGAGCCCAGACACGAACCUCCCUGCACGGAGGCCUUUAACCAGCAGGGGGCGCACAGGACCCAACAGCUUGUCACCCAUGAGGAGCUCUUUCAGAUUGUCUCCUGCAUCCCCUUUACAAGCCCCCAACCAUUUGUGUCAACACCUCCUUACUUUCUGGUGAUACCAGAAUCUGCGGGAUAA
Molecule: non-coding RNA, 581 nt
Organism: Kogia breviceps (pygmy sperm whale)
Lineage: Eukaryota; Metazoa; Chordata; Mammalia; Artiodactyla; Physeteridae
Source: the annotation of a RefSeq genome assembly